AGCCUGGCACUUCCUAAGCAAGUGCUGUACCACUGAGCUCCAGCCCCAGCCCCUAACAGUCACUUUGAAAUCCACUUUGCAGAAAGACUGCAGCAGGUAGAAUGGAGACCAGGUGCCAGCGGGGAAUAAAGGCUUCCCACCUGCACACCCCGUCUCAGGUCGAGGAGAGCCGCGUUCUGCAGACACAGCAUGGCGAGGUUACACAGCAGUCCGGGCUGUGGGUCCAGAGGGCUGUGCUGAUGCGCAGGGCCCAGAGCAGUGACGUAAAGGGACACUGAGUCACAGGACGCCUCCCAAGCGUGUUCACCUACUGCCGGGUUAGAGGAAGGAAGAGGCUGAUUAUAGGUCCCCACAUUCUGAGGUCCUGUGGCACAGAGAGAGCUGCCUCCUGACUGCACCCGGGUGAAAAGGAUCCGCUUCCCCGCGAGGGCACCCUCCUCACCUUCUGCACACCUUCCACGCAACUGGGCAAAGGAAGGGACCCCGCAGCGCCCCCUGUAGGCAGCCCGCGUUCUUGCCCCUUGCCUGGGCAGUCACAGCAGUGCCACCCGCUGUGCCAUUCAUCUGGCCUGACCCCUGCUGCAGCCCCUGCUUUGAGAGCCCCUGGCUGGCUGCAUUCACUGCAUUCGGUGACUUGACACCUUCGGCUGUGGGCAGGGCAGAAGCCCGAGGGAAGGGAAGGCUCCUGAAGACUUCAGGGCUUCGUUCCAGGCCUCCAUCUCCAUGGUGCCCGGUUGCCAGUUGGGGUUGACAUCCACUUGUUUGUUUGUUUUGGUACCGGGGAUCGAAUUCUGGACUUUGAGCAUGCGCGGCAGGCAGCGGAACCACUGAGCUAAAUCGCCAGCCCUACAUCGUCUUUUUAACCAGGUAAAAAUUAUUUGCAACUUGCCAAUUUCCUAUAAGUUAACAUCUAGUAUUUUUUUU
This 924-nucleotide long non-coding RNA is filed under the name Fukomys damarensis (Damara mole-rat). Its description in RNAcentral is "lncRNA (ENSFDAG00000022207.1)". Lineage: Eukaryota; Metazoa; Chordata; Mammalia; Rodentia; Bathyergidae. The record is from RNAcentral.